RNAcentral lists this ribosomal RNA (462 nucleotides) under uncultured bacterium. RNAcentral's name for it is "partial 16S ribosomal RNA". It matches the Rfam family "Bacterial small subunit ribosomal RNA", at positions 28 to 507 of the family's 1533-position model. The record is from RNAcentral.
GACGAACGCUGGCGGCGUGCUUAACACAUGCAAGUCGAGCGGAAAGGCCCUUCGGGGUCCUCGAGCGGCGAACGGGUGAGUAACACGUUAGUAACCUGCCCCAGACUUUGGGAUAACCCUCGGAAACGGGGGCUAAUACCGGAUACGACACAGCUUCGCAUGGGGUCUGUGUGGAAAGUUUUUCGGUUUGUGAUGGGCUCGCGGCCUAUCAGCUUGUUGGUGGGGUGAUGGCAUACCAAGGCGACGACGGGUAGCCGGCCUGUGAGGGCGACCGGCCACACUGGGCCUGAGAGACGGCCCAGACUCCUACGGGAGGCAGCAGUGGGGAAUAUCACACAAUGGGCGGAAGCCUGAUGCAGCGACGCCGCGUGAGGGAUGACGGCCUUCGGGUUGUAAACAUCUUUCAGCAGGGACGAAGCGUAAGUGACGGUACCUGCAGAAGAAGCGCCGGCUAACUACGUG